UUCUUUGAGAGUUUGAUCCUAGCUCAGGAUGAAUGCUGGCGGCGUGGAUAAGGCAUGCAAGUCGAGCGGUUCAACAAUUCUCGCAAGAGAAUUGUUGGAUAGCGGCGAACGAGUUAGUAACACGUAGGUAUCUACCCAUUACACGGGCAUAGCUCGCCGAAAGGCGGAUUAAUUCCCGAUGGUCCCGCAAGGGUAAAGCCCCGACGCAAGUCGGAGCGGUAGUGGAAGAGCCUGCGUCCUAUCAGCUAGUUGGUGAGGUAAGAGCUUACCAAGGCGAUGACGGGUAGGGGACGUGAGAGCGUGUUCCCCAACGAUGGCACUGAGACACGGGCCAUACACCUACGGGUGGCAGCAGUCGAGGAUAUUGGACAAUGGGCGCAAGCCUGAUCCAGCGACGCCGCGUGCGGGAUGAAGGCCUUCGGGUUGUAAACCGCUUUUGUAGAGGAAGAACUUCGGUGACGGUACUCUACGAAUAAGGGGGUGCUAAUUCUGUGCCAGCAGCCGCGGUAAAACAGAACCCCCAAGCAUUAUCCGGAUUCAUUGGGCGUAAAGCGUCUGUAGCCGGUUUGGAAAGUCUCGGGUUAAAUACCGAAGGCUCAACCUUUGGAAUGCUCGAGAAACUGCCAGACUAGAGGGCGUUAGGGGCUGAUGGAACUCUUGGUGGAGGGGUGAAAUCCGUUGAUAUCAAGAGGAACACCAAAAGCGAAGG
This is a non-coding RNA of Candidatus Wildermuthbacteria bacterium, 709 nucleotides long. The record is from Rfam. Lineage: Bacteria; Candidatus Wildermuthiibacteriota.